Non-coding RNA from Kogia breviceps (pygmy sperm whale), 513 nucleotides. Lineage: Eukaryota; Metazoa; Chordata; Mammalia; Artiodactyla; Physeteridae. The record is from RefSeq and is a predicted model, not a curated record.
ACCUCUAACAAUUAAUUAACAAAAGAAAACAACAACAACAAAACAAAACCGUCCAGCAGCUUCUGUCUGCUCACCUGGGCCUGCAAGGUCCUUGAUGUGGCCUGAUCCUUCAUGUCUUGGAGUCCUGCCUCCAGAAGGCAUUUCUCUAAAACAGCCGCCCCCCGCCCUUUGGGUCACAUCCCUGCUUUGUCUCCUGCUGCUCUUCAGCACAGCCUGAAACAUUCUUCUUUGUGGGCUUGGUUACUUACGGUGCAUCUCACCUCCCUCCCAGGGAGGUACAACCUUGCCUCCAGAUCCUAGUACAGGGCCUGGCAUGCAGAGGGUGCUGAAGUUUGCUGAUUGAAUGGACUGAGACCACGGAACUCUGAAAGACGGAACAAUUAGACUUGCAUCAUCUGACAACGAAGCAAAGGAGCUGACAUUCAUGAAGCCCUUGUUGGAUGCUGGGCACACGCUUCUAGGCUCUGAAGAACAAAAUGGCUCUAAGGGUUAUAGGUUCUAAAGAUGACAGUU